Molecule: ribosomal RNA, 253 nt
Filed under: uncultured bacterium
Lineage: Bacteria
Description: partial 16S ribosomal RNA
Rfam family: Bacterial small subunit ribosomal RNA
Source: RNAcentral
UACGAAGGGGGCUAGCGUUGUUCGGAAUUACUGGGCGUAAAGCGCACGUAGGCGGAUACUUAAGUUAGGGGUGAAAUCCCGGGGCUCAACCCCGGAACUGCCUCUAAUACUGGGUAUCUCGAGUUCGAGAGAGGUGAGUGGAAUUCCGAGUGUAGAGGUGAAAUUCGUAGAUAUUCGGAGGAACACCAGUGGCGAAGGCGGCUCACUGGCUCGAUACUGACGCUGAGGUGCGAAAGCGUGGGGAGCAAACAGG